ACUUGCAGAUUGUCUCAGUGACCCACCGACCUCACAUCAUAGUUCAAGCUGGCAGCCAGCAGGGCCUGAGUGUGGUUGGUUGAGCAUCUGGAUUUGGACUGAAGCUGUACAUCUUGGGUUCUUUUCAGCUUUUCUACCAGGUUGCCCAUUGUAUUUUGGACAUACUGAUGAAAAGCUGACUAACAGGAGGCUACCAAGCACAGGGAUUCUAAGGAAGUGCAUUAUCUCUGUGGUUGAUGUAUCUCCUUCUGAUGCACAACUACCUGAGAGAAGCCCCAUCUCUGCUCAACUCCCAGACCUCGUAGAAGGCUCUUCCUACUUCUUCCAGAAAUGAUUAACUCCCACACUGCUAGUAGGGAUGCCUCAGGCAGCUGGAUGUCUCAGCAGAGAGAGGCAUUCCAGAUUCCAAAUUGCAACUGGUGGUGGAUUCUUAACUAGGGUUCCUGGUCAGAAUUCAGGAGAAUGGUCAGAGAAUUUGGAGAAGAAAAUUACAUCUCUGUAUUCACUAAUCUCUAAAACCAAAAAUGUAUAAUUUUCAAUUAUAAAACAUAAACAAAAAAGGAAAAAAAAUCACAUAAUAUUAACAGUAUCUUUGACUUUGUCACAAAUAGAAUCAAUUCCUUUCCUAUAUAUAUAUCAGUUGUUGCAAAUCUUGAAAUACUAUGUACACUGAGUACUACUUAAAAAUUAGGAUUAUUAAACCUGCUAUUAGAUUUGUGUUAACAUGCAGACAUGUUAUUGAAUGUAUUACUAAAGAAACACGUGUUACAUCACAACUCUGUUUAAAAACAUUUUUAUAACUAUCUUUCAAAAAGUAGUUUUCUUUAGUAUCCUAUGGCUUUUAUUUAACUGAUUACAAAAAAAGGGGUCCACGCUUUUACCAGAUAGCCAAAAGUGUCUAUGGCACGAAAAGGGGAGCAACUCUG
Molecule: non-coding RNA, 926 nt
Organism: Ictidomys tridecemlineatus (thirteen-lined ground squirrel)
Lineage: Eukaryota; Metazoa; Chordata; Mammalia; Rodentia; Sciuridae
Source: RefSeq, a predicted model, not a curated record